RNAcentral lists this ribosomal RNA (501 nucleotides) under uncultured Chloroflexota bacterium. Its description in RNAcentral is "bacterial SSU rRNA". It matches the Rfam family "Bacterial small subunit ribosomal RNA", at positions 355 to 871 of the family's 1533-position model. The record is from RNAcentral. Lineage: Bacteria; Bacillati; Chloroflexota.
UAGGGAAUAUUGCACAAUGGGCGAAAGCCUGAUGCAGCAACGCCGCGUGCACGAUGAAGGCCUUCGGGUCGUAAAGUGCUUUUCGGGGAGAUGAGAAAGGACAGUAUCCCCGGAAUAAGGAUCGGCUAACUACGUGCCAGCAGCCGCGGUAAAACGUAGGAUCCGAGCGUUAUCCGAAUUUACUGGGCGUAAGGCGCGUGUAGGCGGUUCGGUAAGUUGGAUGUGAAAUCUCCUGGCUCAACUGGGAGAGGUCGCUCAAUACUGUCGGACUAGAGGGUGGUAGAGGGAGGUGGAAUUCCCGGUGUAGUGGUGAAAUGCGUAGAUAUCGGGAGGAACACCAGUGGCGAAAGCGGCCUCCUAGACCCGCUCCUGACGCUCAGACGCGAAAGCUAGGGGAGCGAACGGGAUUAGAACCCCGGUAGUCCUAGCUGUAAACGAUGUGAACUUGGUCGUUGGUGGGUAAAAGCCAUCAGUGCCGAGACUAACGCGAUAAGUUCACCG